UACGUAGGUGGCAAGCGUUGUCCGGAUUUACUGGGCGUAAAGAGCGCGCAGGCGGUCGUUCAAGUCGAGUGUGAAAGCCCCCGGCUCAACUGGGGAGGGUCAUUCGAUACUGAUCGACUGGAAGGCAGGAGAGGGAAGCGGAAUUCCCGGUGUAGUGGUGAAAUGCGUAGAUAUCAGGAGGAACACCGGUGGCGAAGGCGGGUCUCUGGGCAGUAACUGACGCUGAGGAGCGAAAGCGUGGGGAGCGAACAGG
RNAcentral lists this ribosomal RNA (253 nucleotides) under uncultured bacterium. Its description in RNAcentral is "partial 16S ribosomal RNA". It matches the Rfam family "Bacterial small subunit ribosomal RNA", at positions 524 to 776 of the family's 1533-position model. The record is from RNAcentral.